UCCCCCCCACAAUCACCGCUGCGGAAGCAUGGUCACAGCACGAGCAGCCACUCCACCGCAAGACUCCAACGAAAGGACCUUGAGCACCUCGCCCCAAUAAUUACAAUUCGGGGAGGGGGGAGUGGCAGUGAUCAUGCUCCCAAUCUCCAAGGCUGAGCGGUGCCAUCGACGCUGCGUGGAGCUAAGCAGAAACAACAGCUCUGGCACCCAGUUCUCCUGCCCCAGGCAAAAGGCAUGGCCGAGCCACAGGAUGACCUCUGAACUACAAAGACCAGCAAUCCCUGCAAUGUACAUCCCUUAAGCUGCCAUGUCAUCAGGUAUAUUACCUGUCCUGCCUAUGCCUGCGCUGCAGUGGACGACAAUGGGUGGCUCAGGGCACUGCCC
Molecule: long non-coding RNA, 384 nt
Organism: Mustela erminea (ermine)
Lineage: Eukaryota; Metazoa; Chordata; Mammalia; Carnivora; Mustelidae
Exons: 3
Source: RefSeq, a predicted model, not a curated record